UACGUAGGGUGCAAGCGUUGUCCGGAAUUAUUGGGCGUAAAGAGCUCGUAGGCGGUCUGUCGCGUCUGCUGUGAAAACUCAGGGCUUAACCCUGAGCUUGCAGUGGGUACGGGCAGACUAGAGUGCGGUAGGGGAGACUGGAAUUCCUGGUGUAGCGGUGAAAUGCGCAGAUAUCAGGAGGAACACCGGUGGCGAAGGCGGGUCUCUGGGCUAUAACUGACGCUCAUGCACGAAAGCGUGGGGAGCAAACAGG
RNAcentral lists this ribosomal RNA (253 nucleotides) under uncultured bacterium. RNAcentral's name for it is "partial 16S ribosomal RNA". It matches the Rfam family "Bacterial small subunit ribosomal RNA", at positions 524 to 776 of the family's 1533-position model. The record is from RNAcentral.